GAUGAACGCUAGCGGCAGGCCUAACACAUGCAAGUCGAGGGGUAGAAGGCUUCGGCCUUUGAGACCCGCGCACGGGCGCGUAACGCGUAUGCAAUCUGCCUUACACUGGGGGAUAGCCCAGAGAAAUUUGGAUUAAUACCCCAUAGUAUUUUUGCCUGGCAUCAGGUGAUUAUUAAAGGUUACGGUAAAAGAUGAGCAUGCGUCCCAUUAGCUAGUUGGUAUGGUAACGGCAUACCAAGGCUACGAUGGGUAGGGGUCCUGAGAGGGAGAUCCCCCACACUGGUACUGAGACACGGACCAGACUCCUACGGGAGGCAGCAGUGAGGAAUAUUGGUCAAUGGGCGCAAGCCUGAACCAGCCAUGCCGCGUGCAGGAUGAAGCAUCUAUGGUGUGUAAACUGCUUUUGUACGGGAAGAAACACUGCUACGUGUAGCAGCUUGACGGUACCGUAAGAAUAAGGAUCGGCUAACUCCGUGCCAGCCGCCGCCGUAA
RNAcentral lists this ribosomal RNA (492 nucleotides) under uncultured bacterium. RNAcentral describes it as "partial 16S ribosomal RNA". It matches the Rfam family "Bacterial small subunit ribosomal RNA", at positions 28 to 523 of the family's 1533-position model. The record is from RNAcentral.